Molecule: ribosomal RNA, 490 nt
Filed under: uncultured bacterium
Lineage: Bacteria
Description: partial 16S ribosomal RNA
Rfam family: Bacterial small subunit ribosomal RNA
Source: RNAcentral
AUUGAACGCUGGCGGCAUGCUUUACACAUGCAAGUCGGACGGCAGCACGGAGGAGCUUGCUUCUUGGGUGGCGAGUGGCGAACGGGUGAGUAACGCAUCGGAACGUACCGAGUAAUGGGGGAUAACUGUCCGAAAGGACAGCUAAUACCGCAUACGCCCUGAGGGGGAAAGCGGGGGAUCUUAGGACCUCGCGUUAUUCGAGCGGCCGAUGUCUGAUUAGCUGGUUGGCGGGGUAAAGGCCCACCAAGGCGACGAUCAGUAGCGGGUCUGAGAGGAUGAUCCGCCACACUGGGACUGAGACACGGCCCAGACUCCUACGGGAGGCAGCAGUGGGGAAUUUUGGACAAUGGGCGCAAGCCUGAUCCAGCCAUGCCGCGUGUCUGAAGAAGGCCUUCGGGUUGUAAAGGACUUUUGUCAGGGAAGAAAAGGGGCAUGUUAAUACCGUGCUCUGAUGACGGUACCUGAAGAAUAAGCACCGGCUAACUACGUG